RNAcentral lists this ribosomal RNA (448 nucleotides) under uncultured bacterium. RNAcentral describes it as "bacterial SSU rRNA". The stretch from base 160 to 448 matches the Rfam family "Bacterial small subunit ribosomal RNA", at positions 40 to 352 of the family's 1533-position model. The record is from RNAcentral.
UGAAUCCGGUAAUCGUGGUCAUACGUCUUGUUUACCUGUAACACACGACGGCCAGGUGGAUCCGGAAUCCUGGACAUAGAUGUUUCCUGGAAAACGACGGCCUGAGAAUCCGAAAUCGUGGCCAAAGGUGUUUCCUGGGAAAGGCACAGCCCGUGAAUCCGGAGUGGAGGACAGAAGCUGUGCCCCGUGAAUCAACGGCGGACGGGUGAGUAAUGCCUAGGAAUCUGCCUGGCAGUGGGGGACAACGUUUCGAAAGGAACGCUAAUACCGCAUACGUCCUACGGGAGAAAGCAGGGGACCUUCGGGCCUUGCGCUAUCAGAUGAGCCUAGGUCGGAUUAGCUUGUUGGUGAGGUAAUGGCUCACCAAGGCGACGAUCCGUAACUGGUCUGAGAGGAUGAUCAGUCACACUGGAACUGAGACACGGUCCAGACUCCUACGGGAGGCAGC